This 388-nucleotide ribosomal RNA is filed under the name uncultured eukaryote. RNAcentral's name for it is "partial 18S ribosomal RNA". It matches the Rfam family "Eukaryotic small subunit ribosomal RNA", at positions 592 to 976 of the family's 1831-position model. The record is from RNAcentral.
CAAUAGCGUAUAUUAAAGUUGUUGCAGUUAAAAAGCUCGUAGUUGGAUUUCUGAUCGAGACAUCAGGUCGGGUCCGAGAGGAUCAUGUACUUUGAUUUUGUUUUGAUCAUCCUUGGGGAGAGCAUUUCUGGCAUUCAGUUGUCGGGAUUGGGAUCCUCAUCGUUUACUGUGAAAAAAUUAGAGUGUUCAAAGCAGGCCUCGGCCUCUGAAUACAUUAGCAUGGAAUAAUAAGAUAGGACUUUGGUGGUCUAUUUUGUUGGUUUGCACGCCAAAGUAAUGAUUAAUAGGGAUAGUUGGGGGUAUUCGUAUCCAAUUGUCAGAGGUGAAAUUCUUGGAUUUAUGGAAGACGAACUACUGCGAAAGCAUUUACCAAGGAUGUUUUCAUUAA